AUGGUGGGCCCCUUGAGGACAGGUCGAAGCGGUUUCACGCAUGUACUGGUGGCAGUCGACAAGUUCACCAAGUGGAUCGAGGCUAAACCCAUCAAGAACCUUGACGCUGGUACUGCCGUUAGCUUCAUCAGGGAACUGAUAUUCAGAUAUGGAGUCCCGCACAGCAUCAUCACAGACAAUGGAUCAAACUUCGACUCGGAGGAAUUCAGAGAGUUCUGCACAUCUCAAGGCACACGAGUCGACUAUGCUUCGGUCGCCCAUCCACAGUCGAAUGGACAAGCAGAGCGAGCCAAUGGCUUGAUCCUCAAGGGAUUGAAACCCCGACUGAUGCGUGAUCUCAAGCAUGCGGCUGGAUCAUGGGUCGACGAACUUCCCUCAGUGCUUUGGGGUCUG
Molecule: ribosomal RNA, 393 nt
Filed under: Triticum aestivum (bread wheat)
Lineage: Eukaryota; Viridiplantae; Streptophyta; Magnoliopsida; Poales; Poaceae
Description: partial small subunit ribosomal RNA
Source: RNAcentral